CCAGCUCCAAUAGCGUAUACUAAAGUUGUUGCAGUUAAAAAGCUCGUAGUUGGAUUUCUGGUCGUGGGCACCGGUCCGCUCCUCGCGGAGUGUGUACCAGGUAUCUGCAGCCAUCCUCGGGGAGAGCGUUCCUGGCAUUAAGUUGUCGGGUUCGGGAUCCUCGUCAUUUACUGUGAGCAAAAUAGAGUGUUCAAAGCAGGCUUAGGCCGUUGAAUACAUUAGCAUGGAAUAAUAAGAUAGGACCUUGGUCUAUUUUGUUGGUUUGCACUCCAAGGUAAUGAUUAAUAGGGAUAGUUGGGGGUAUUCGUAUUCAAUUGUCAGAGGUGAAAUUCUUGGAUUUAUGGAAGACGAACUACUGCGAAAGCAUUUACCAAGGAUGUUUUCA
This 385-nucleotide ribosomal RNA is filed under the name uncultured Chrysophyceae. RNAcentral describes it as "SSU rRNA". It matches the Rfam family "Eukaryotic small subunit ribosomal RNA", at positions 585 to 972 of the family's 1831-position model. The record is from RNAcentral. Lineage: Eukaryota; Chrysophyceae.